Molecule: ribosomal RNA, 443 nt
Filed under: uncultured bacterium
Lineage: Bacteria
Description: partial 16S ribosomal RNA
Rfam family: Bacterial small subunit ribosomal RNA
Source: RNAcentral
CCUACGGUGGGCAGCAGUGGGGAAUAUUGGGCAAUGGGCGCAAGCCUGACCCAGCAACGCCGCGUGAAGGAAGAAGGCCCUCGGGUUGUAAACUUCUUUUAACAGGGACGAAGAAAGUGACGGUACCUGUUGAAUAAGCCACGGCUAACUACGUGCCAGCAGCCGCGGUAAUACGUAGGUGGCAAGCGUUAUCCGGAUUUACUGGGUGUAAAGGGCGUGUAGGCGGGAGAGCAAGUCAGACGUGAAAUUCCAGGGCUCAACCCUGGAACUGCGUUUGAAACUGUUGAUCUUGAGUACUGGAGAGGCAGAUGGAAUUCCUGGUGUAGCGGUGAAAUGCGUAGAUAUUAGGAGGAACACCAGUGGCGAAGGCGGUCUGCUGGACAGCAACUGACGGUGAGGCGCGAAAGCGUGGGGAGCAAACAGGAUUAGAUACCCCUGUAGUC